This 450-nucleotide ribosomal RNA is filed under the name uncultured bacterium. RNAcentral describes it as "bacterial SSU rRNA". It matches the Rfam family "Bacterial small subunit ribosomal RNA", at positions 354 to 796 of the family's 1533-position model. The record is from RNAcentral.
GUGGGGAAUAUUGGACAAUGGGCGAAAGCCUGAUCCAGCCAUGCCGCGUGUGUGAAGAAGGUCUUCGGAUUGUAAAGCACUUUAAGUUGGGAGGAAGGGCAGUAAGUUAAUACCUUGCUGUUUUGACGUUACCGACAGAAUAAGCACCGGCUAACUUCGUGCCAGCAGCCGCGGUAAUACGAAGGGUGCAAGCGUUAAUCGGAAUUACUGGGCGUAAAGCGCGCGUAGGUGGUUUUGUAAGUUGGAGGUGAAAUCCCCGGGGUCAACCUGGGAACUGCCUCCAAAACUGCAUGACUAGAGUACGGUAGAGGGUAGUGGAAUUUCCUGUGUAGCGGUGAAAUGCGUAGAUAUAGGAAGGAACACCAGUGGCGAAGGCGACUACCUGGACUGAUACUGACACUGAGGUGCGAAAGCGUGGGGAGCAAACAGGAUUAGAUAACCCUGUAGUCC